This 253-nucleotide ribosomal RNA is filed under the name uncultured bacterium. Its description in RNAcentral is "partial 16S ribosomal RNA". It matches the Rfam family "Bacterial small subunit ribosomal RNA", at positions 524 to 776 of the family's 1533-position model. The record is from RNAcentral.
UACGUAGGGUGCAAGCGUUAAUCGGAAUUACUGGGCGUAAGGCGUGCGCAGGCGGUUUUGUAAGUCUGUCGUGAAAUCCCCGGGCUCAACCUGGGAAUUGCGAUGGAGACUGCAAGGCUAGAAUCUGGCAGAGGGGGGUAGAAUUCCACGUGUAGCAGUGAAAUGCGUAGAGAUGUGGAGGAACACCGAUGGCGAAGGCAGCCCCCUGGGUCAAGAUUGACGCUCAUGCACGAAAGCGUGGGGAGCAAACAGG